Molecule: long non-coding RNA, 288 nt
Organism: Passer domesticus (house sparrow)
Lineage: Eukaryota; Metazoa; Chordata; Aves; Passeriformes; Passeridae
Exons: 2
Source: RefSeq, a predicted model, not a curated record
UCUGCAUGCUGCUCCCCUAACUGCAGCACCUUAGUCACCACAAACCUCAUCAGUGUACAAUUAAUUACUCCUGUUAAUCAAAGUGGAAAGACUGAAGGAAUUACAGUGCCCAGCGGAUCAGUAAUGACCCGAAGCCCACCAAGAGCCCGCUAGAAUGAGCUGGGGAUGGAAAGCCAGGUGAAGAGACAGUGACUCAGCAGAAGGACAGUGGGCGAGGUGGUGCCCAGGUGUGACUGCACAUGACCCAGGCAGAGUCAAGCUUGGAUAUCAAUGCAAGUUAAAGAAUAA